This is an RNA transcript of Fragaria vesca subsp. vesca, 934 nucleotides long. It is a transcript of the gene named germin-like protein subfamily 1 member 7-like, with no coding region annotated. NCBI's taxonomy places the organism in Eukaryota, Viridiplantae, Streptophyta, Magnoliopsida, Rosales, Rosaceae. The transcript has 2 exons. The record is from RefSeq and is a predicted model, not a curated record.
AUCCACCUCCAGUUCUCUCUUAUACAGAACUAUAACAUAUACUGAGUAUUGCGAUCACGAUGAUGAAAGGUGCUCAUUUCCCUGCUACAACUGCUGCUUUUGCCCUACUGGCAUUGGCAACCUUCCACCUUGUCUCUGCCUCUGAUCCUAGUUCUCUCCAAGAUUUCUGUGUAGCACUUAAGAACACUGAUGUGUUUGUGAAUGGGAAAUUCUGCAAGGACCCAAAGCUUGUAACAGAAGACGAUUUCUUCUUUGACGGGCUCCGGAUGCCCGGAAACACAUCAAAUGCGGUUGGUUCCAAGGUCACCCCGGCGAAUGUGGAGCAAAUAGCAGGGCUGAACACUCUUGGGAUAUCCCUUGCUCGCAUAGACUAUGCACCAAAUGGCGGACUAAACCCUCCUCACACCCACCCUCGGGCCUCGGAGUUUCUUGUGGUCAUGGAAGGCACUCUCGUACGUUGGGCUUCGUCACAUCCAACUCUGACAACGGCAACAAGCUAUUCACCAAAGUGUUGUACCCUGGAGAUGUGUUUGUCUUCCCGGUUGGUCUUAUUCACUUCCAGUUCAACAUCGGAAAGGUCAAUGCCGUGGCCAUUGCCGGUCUUAGCAGCCAGAACCCAGGUGUCAUCACCAUAGCCAACGCCGUUUUCGGCUCCAAACCUCCGAUCAAGCUUGAUGUUCUCACCAAGGCCUUCCAAGUUGAAAGCAAUGUCGUUGAGUAUCUCCAGAACCAGUUCUGGUAUGACAACAACUGAGAACAUGCUAACAAUUGUAUCACGUACGAUACGAUGACCUUAUUUUAUCAUACAACACAUAAUCUAAGCUUUUGUAAAAAUAAGAUGGUAGUUGCUUAUAUGUAAUGUACCUCUUCCUUGAUCAGUGGAUUAUUGGAAUUUGAUUAUUAAUAAAUACUCGCAUCAUAUAAAGCGUUUUUG